UAUGAAAGUCAAAACUAUCGAUUCGCCAUUUUGUCUGCCAUUUUCAACAGAUUGCUUAAAUUCUGUAGUUACGCUCUCCACAGCCUUGAAAUGAGCCUUUUGUUUUUCUUUUAGUUCUUCUGUAACUCUUUGUUCAACACUACUUUUCAUGGAGCAAUGUAAAUUAUCACACGUUUUACACGUAUCCGAAUGACGCCUUUUAAAACUUAAAUUAAAGUUGUUGUUGAAAAUAUCACCAAAGACGUACUGCGAGACGACAUGUUGAUCCUUUAAUUCACAGGAGCUCUUGUAUUCGUUAUAUAACUUCGUUAAAUUUAGAUUUGGGUGUAAAUAUUUCUUCUGAGAUAUUUUACGUCCAUAGUGUGACUCGUAUUUUGGGAAAAAGUUGAUAAAUAAUAACAUUAUUUUUAUCUUCCUCAGAUGUUUUGUUUGCUGAAGAUGUUCGUCCCCGCGUCUCAGCAGCACCGAAAUUUUUUUUGGAUACUACCUACAGCACGGUAUAUACGAGCCGAUGUUAUGCAUAGGCACUUCACGAAAAAGUUCUUACAAACUUUGAAUAAUCGGCGUGUUUGUUUUGCGAGCCACAGGACGUCUUUUCACCGAAGAUCGAAUAUAUAAGGUUUUUUUGGGUCCAAUUUAAAGCAUGAUAAUAGUUUUCAAAAAUUUUCUUUUGGCGGACAAUGUCAAUCUUGUGGCAACAACUUUUUCCACAUUUGCAGAUUACUUGUGCUAUAAAUUUUUUUUCCGCAACUAUACGACCGCUAACAGUUUUAUGCUCUUUGCCACAUUCAACACUUUUUUUUUGCAAUAUUUUUUUUGCGAUGUUCUAAUCGCUUUUGUCGUUUUCUGGGAGUAAACGUUACUGUAAAUAAGAUAUAAUACUAUAAUUGCUCUUACCUAGCAAAUAAAUAUAAAUAUUUACCAUGA
Long non-coding RNA from Rhagoletis pomonella (apple maggot), 927 nucleotides. RefSeq lists it as uncharacterized. NCBI's taxonomy places the organism in Eukaryota, Metazoa, Arthropoda, Insecta, Diptera, Tephritidae. The record is from RefSeq and is a predicted model, not a curated record. The transcript is spliced from 2 exons.